RNAcentral lists this long non-coding RNA (763 nucleotides) under Calidris pugnax (ruff). RNAcentral's name for it is "lncRNA (ENSCPUG00000009237.1)". Lineage: Eukaryota; Metazoa; Chordata; Aves; Charadriiformes; Scolopacidae. The record is from RNAcentral.
CCUUACCCUUGGGUGACCAUGAACGAAACAGGAGCUCACUGAUUCUGGUCCAUCUUUCUUAGUCUCUUUACAGCUUAAGGACUGAGAAAAGAAUUGUGAAUAAUUGUAAAUGACUUGUGACAGCCGUGUUUCCUUUAUUGCUGCUCUGAGUGAAGCUGCUUGGUUGGGACAGCUUCCUAAGCCCUAUGGAUGGAGCACAUAGACAACCAGCAUGGCAGGAUGGAAACCUCACUCCAGGAGUACGCUACACAGCUGACACUUAGGUUUGGUUGGAAAUUUUUCAGCAAAUCAAAAUUUUGUUGGAAACCUCCCCACCGCUUUCAGGGUCCAAGAUACCCAGGCUCCUGAAAUGCCUUGGAUUCAACAGACUUCUGCAAGCUCAAAGGUGAGUUCCUGCCAGCUAUGGCCAGAGGUAGGAGCUGUCAGGCGCUUAACCCUAGGGCAGAUGCAUCUAGAGGGAGGCAGGGGGCUGUUUUUUUCUGGGCUGAGGAAUGAUGAGUCUCCCCAUUCUGCUCGGUGGUCAACUCUUCUGGAAAAGGUGGAUUGUACGGGACCAGUCUAUAGCCCAGCUCUAAGAGGAGGAUGGAUGGAUAUGGAACCCAGAUGGAGUGACAGUUGCAGGCGGCUGCCCAACACUUGUACUCUUAAAAAGGGAAAACAAUGCAAAGAGAGGAUGUCCCCGGAGGGAGAUCAUGCCCUGACCCAGCUGCUCACACAUGCAAGACAGAUUUUUUUCAAGCACAGGACCCGGUUGGGAACUUGA